This 406-nucleotide ribosomal RNA is filed under the name uncultured bacterium. RNAcentral's name for it is "partial 16S ribosomal RNA". It matches the Rfam family "Bacterial small subunit ribosomal RNA", at positions 29 to 526 of the family's 1533-position model. The record is from RNAcentral.
AUUGAACGCUGGCGGCAGGCCUAACACAUGCAAGUCGAACGAGUGGCGGACGGGUGAGUAAUGUCUGGGAAACUGCCUGAUGGAGCGGGAUAACUACUGGAAACGGUAGCUAAUACCGCAUACCAUCGGAUGUGCCCAGAUGGGAUUAGCUAGCAGGUGGGGUAAAGGUUCACCUAGGCGACGAUCCCUAGCUGGUCUGAGAGGAUGACCAGCGACACUGGAACUGAGACACGGCCCAGGCGCCUACGGGAGGCAGCAGGGGGGACUAUUGCACAAUGGGCGCAAGACUGUUGCAGCCAGGCCGCGUGUGUGAGGAAGGCCUUCGGGUUGUAAAGUACGUUCAGCGGUGAGGCGUUACCCGCAGAAGAAGCGCCGGCUAACUCGGUGCCAGCAGCCGCGGUAAUUC